This 371-nucleotide ribosomal RNA is filed under the name uncultured organism. RNAcentral describes it as "bacterial SSU rRNA". It matches the Rfam family "Bacterial small subunit ribosomal RNA", at positions 526 to 896 of the family's 1533-position model. The record is from RNAcentral.
CGGAGGUCCCGAGCGUUGUUCGGAUUCACUGGGCGUAAAGGGUGCGUAGGUGGUCGGGUAAGUCUGAUGUGAAAUCUCCGAGCUUAACUCGGAAAUGGCAUUGGAUACUAUUCGGCUAGAGGAUUGAGGGGGGACUGGAAUACUUGGUGUAGCAGUGAAAUGCGUAGAUAUCAAGUGGAACACCAGUGGCGAAGGCGAGUCCCUGGACAACUCCUGACACUGAGGCACGAAAGCUAGGGGAGCAAACAGGAUUAGAUACCCUGGUAGUCCUAGCUGUAAACGGUGCACGUUUGCUGUAAAAGGAAUCGACCCCUUUUGUGGCGUAGCCAACGCGUUAAACGUGCCGCCUGGGAAGUACGGUCGCAAGAUUA